UAAAAAAAAUAAUCAAACCGAUAAUAGCAUUUUUGAACUACAUGUCCAAUCUUGUCACACAACUAACACUGAGGUUGAUUUUGAGAAAAGAAACCCCCACAACUCGAGCACAAUAAGAUCCUCCUCAAAAUUCUUGCUUGUAAUUUUGUCUACCACCUAUACCGCCUGCUUUGCCUACAGUAUUUCCCUGAGAAUGGACAACAUUAGCCUGUAUAGGAACACUCGCC
RNAcentral lists this long non-coding RNA (227 nucleotides) under Gossypium barbadense (sea-island cotton). RNAcentral describes it as "long non-coding RNA (GBAR_LNC011509)". The record is from RNAcentral. Lineage: Eukaryota; Viridiplantae; Streptophyta; Magnoliopsida; Malvales; Malvaceae.